This 253-nucleotide ribosomal RNA is filed under the name uncultured bacterium. RNAcentral's name for it is "partial 16S ribosomal RNA". It matches the Rfam family "Bacterial small subunit ribosomal RNA", at positions 524 to 776 of the family's 1533-position model. The record is from RNAcentral.
UACGAAGGGGGCUAGCGUUGCCCGGAAUCACUGGGCGUAAAGCGCACGUAGGCGGUCUUUUAAGUCAGGGGUGAAAUCCUGGAGCUCAACUCCAGAACUGCCUUUGAUACUGAGAGACUUGAGUCCGGGAGAGGUGAGUGGAACUGCGAGUGUAGAGGUGAAAUUCGUAGAUAUUCGCAAGAACACCAGUGGCGAAGGCGGCUCACUGGCCCGGUACUGACGCUGAGGUGCGAAAGCGUGGGGAGCAAACAGG